Cicer arietinum (chickpea) is the source of this 579-nucleotide non-coding RNA. NCBI's taxonomy places the organism in Eukaryota, Viridiplantae, Streptophyta, Magnoliopsida, Fabales, Fabaceae. The record is from RefSeq and is a predicted model, not a curated record.
AACCUUUUUAGUAAAAAAAAAAAAAAAUUGCAUGGAUAGUUUGUGUUUAAUCCAGAAAAAAGUCGGAGCCGGGUCAUAACCCGACCCGUAUAAUGAGGUUAUUAGGGUUCACAUUUUACGAAACGCGGCACUAUAAAUACUUAGACAAGGGUUUUGCAUUCUCAGAUUGAGUUACCUCAUCUCCUGCGGCAAUUACCAUCGUUCGGAGAAGCUUGAGAGCGUAGCGUUCGUUAUCAAACAUGAGGGCUAAGUGGAAGAAGAAGCGCAUGAGGAGGUUGAAGAGGAAGCGCCGAAAGAUGAGACAGAGAUCCAAGUAGGUCGAUUGGCAGAAGACAUACUUUCCAUCCUUCUAUGACGUGCUUCAUGACUUGUUAGAUAGUUCCAGUCUAAUGUUGUGAGGUUUGGUUGGGAGGGGAAGCUUCUCUCAAGACAUAGUUUAGCUGUACUGGUCUCCAAGACAAUUGUUUUUGAGUGUUAUUUUUUGGUAUUGAUGCAUGUACUGGUUUGGUAUACUGACUGAUAUAUUUAUAUGGCUUAUAUAUUAGCAUUUUAAAGCUGCAUGAAAAUUUGGUCUUUUCA